Molecule: ribosomal RNA, 569 nt
Filed under: Bacillus sp. PSu1_44
Lineage: Bacteria; Bacillati; Bacillota; Bacilli; Caryophanales; Bacillaceae
Description: bacterial SSU rRNA
Rfam family: Bacterial small subunit ribosomal RNA
Source: RNAcentral
GCAAGUCGAGCGGACCGACGGGAGCUUGCUCCCUUAGGUCAGCGGCGGACGGGUGAGUAACACGUGGGUAACCUGCCUGUAAGACUGGGAUAACUCCGGGAAACCGGGGCUAAUACCGGAUGCUUGAUUGAACCGCAUGGUUCAAUCAUGAAAGGCGGCUUCGGCUGCCGUUUACAGAUGGACCCGCGGCGCAUUAGCUAGUUGGUGAGGUAACGGCUCACCAAGGCGACGAUGCGUAGCCGACCUGAGAGGGUGAUCGGCCACACUGGGACUGAGACACGGCCCAGACUCCUACGGGAGGCAGCAGUAGGGAAUCUUCCGCAAUGGACGAAAGUCUGACGGAGCAACGCCGCGUGAGUGAUGAAGGUUUUCGGAUCGUAAAGCUCUGUUGUUAGGGAAGAACAAGUACCGUUCGAAUAGGGCGGUACCUUGACGGUACCUAACCAGAAAGCCACGGCUAACUACGUGCCAGCAGCCGCGGUAAUACGUAGGUGGCAAGCGUUGUCCGGAAUUAUUGGGCGUAAAGCGCGCGCAGGCGGUUUCUUAAGUCUGAUGUGAAAGCCCCCGGC